Molecule: ribosomal RNA, 787 nt
Filed under: uncultured bacterium
Lineage: Bacteria
Description: bacterial SSU rRNA
Rfam family: Bacterial small subunit ribosomal RNA
Source: RNAcentral
CCUAGCGGCGGACGGGUGAGUAAUGCUUAGGAAUCUGCCUAUUAGUGGGGGACAACAUUCCGAAAGGAAUGCUAAUACCGCAUACGUCCUACGGGAGAAAGCAGGGGACCUUCGGGCCUUGCGCUAAUAGAUGAGCCUAAGUCGGAUUAGCUAGUUGGUGGGGUAAAGGCCUACCAAGGCGACGAUCUGUAGCGGGUCUGAGAGGAUGAUCCGCCACACUGUGACUGAGACACGGCCCAGACUCCUACGGGAGGCAGCAGUGGGGAAUAUUGGACAAUGGGGGGAACCCUGAUCCAGCCAUGCCGCGUGUGUGAAGAAGGCCUUUUGGUUGUAAAGCACUUUAAGCGAGGAGGAGGCUACUAGUAUUAAUACUACUGGAUAGUGGACGUUACUCGCAGAAUAAGCACCGGCUAACUCUGUGCCAGCAGCCGCGGUAAUACAGAGGGUGCGAGCGUUAAUCGGAUUUACUGGGCGUAAAGCGUGCGUAGGCGGCUGAUUAAGUCGGAUGUGAAAUCCCUGAGCUUAACUUAGGAAUUGCAUUCGAUACUGGUCAGCUAGAGUAUGGGAGAGGAUGGUAGAAUUCCAGGUGUAGCGGUGAAAUGCGUAGAGAUCUAGAGGAAUACCGAUGGCGAAGGCAGCCAUCUGGCCUAAUACUGACGCUGAGGUACGAAAGCAUGGGGAGCAAACAGGAUUAGAUACCCUGGUAGUCCAUGCCGUANACGAUGUCUACUAGCCGUUGGGGCCUUUGAGGCUUUAGUGGCGCAGCUAACGCGAUAAGUAGACCGCC